This 119-nucleotide ribosomal RNA is filed under the name Pteropus alecto (black flying fox). The record is from RNAcentral. RNAcentral also lists the same sequence under 1 other name. Lineage: Eukaryota; Metazoa; Chordata; Mammalia; Chiroptera; Pteropodidae.
GUCUACAGCCAUGCUACCCUGAAUGUGCUCAAUCUCAUCUGAUCUUGGAAGCUAAACAGGGUCGGGCCUGGUUAGUACUUGGAUGGGAGACUACCUAGGAAUACCAGGUGCUGUAGGCG